Non-coding RNA from Beta vulgaris subsp. vulgaris (sugar beet), 121 nucleotides. NCBI's taxonomy places the organism in Eukaryota, Viridiplantae, Streptophyta, Magnoliopsida, Caryophyllales, Amaranthaceae. The record is from Rfam.
UGAAGUUCCACAGGAGCGACCUGAGACCACAUGAAUGAGGCAUAUUCACCAAUUUUUUAUUGGUGAUUUGGCUUUGGGUUCUAUUGUUCAUGUGUUCUCAGGUCGCCCCUGCCGGACUUCC